RNAcentral lists this ribosomal RNA (1443 nucleotides) under metagenome. RNAcentral's name for it is "bacterial SSU rRNA". It matches the Rfam family "Bacterial small subunit ribosomal RNA". The record is from RNAcentral.
AGAGUUUGAUCCUGGCUCAGGAUGAACGCUGGCGGCGUGCUUAACACAUGCAAGUCGAACGAUCCUUCGGGAUAGUGGUGGACGGGUGAGUAACGCGUGGGAAUCUGCCCUUAGGAGGGGGAUAACGGCUGGAAACGGCCGCUAAUACCCCAUAUGCCGAGAGGUGAAACGAAUUUCGCCUGAGGAUGAGCCCGCGUCUGAUUAGCUAGUUGGUGGGGUAAAGGCCUACCAAGGCGACGAUCAGUAGCUGGUCUGAGAGGAUGAUCAGCCACACUGGGACUGAGACACGGCCCAGACUCCUACGGGAGGCAGCAGUGGGGAAUUUUCCGCAAUGGGCGAAAGCCUGAUGGAGCGACGCCGCGUGAGGGAUGAAGGCCUCUGGGCUGUAAACCUCUUUUCUCAAGGAAGAAGAACUGACGGUACUUGAGGAAUAAGCCACGGCUAAUUCCGUGCCAGCAGCCGCGGUAAUACGGGAGUGGCAAGCGUUAUCCGGAAUUAUUGGGCGUAAAGCGUCCGCAGGCGGCCUUGUAAGUCUGUUGUUAAAGCGUGGAGCUCAACUCCAUUUAAGCAAUGGAAACUACAAGGCUGGAGUGUGGUAGGGGCAGAGGGAAUUCCCGGUGUAGCGGUGAAAUGCGUAGAUAUCGGGAAGAACACCAGUGGCGAAGGCGCUCUGCUGGGCCAUAACUGACGCUCAUGGACGAAAGCCAGGGGAGCGAAAGGGAUUAGAUACCCCUGUAGUCCUGGCCGUAAACGAUGAACACUAGGUGUCGGGGGAAUCGACCCCCUCGGUGUCGUAGCCAACGCGUUAAGUGUUCCGCCUGGGGAGUACGCACGCAAGUGUGAAACUCAAAGGAAUUGACGGGGGCCCGCACAAGCGGUGGGGUAUGUGGUUUAAUUCGAUGCAACGCGAAGAACCUUACCAGGGUUUGACAUCCUGCGAAUCCCUUGGAAACGAGGGAGUGCCUUCGGGAGCGCAGUGACAGGUGGUGCAUGGCUGUCGUCAGCUCGUGUCGUGAGAUGUUGGGUUAAGUCCCGCAACGAGCGCAACCCACGUCUUUAGUUGCCAGCAUUCAGUUGGGCACUCUAGAGAUACCGCCGGUGAUAAACCGGAGGAAGGUGUGGAUGACGUCAAGUCAUCAUGCCCCUUACAUCCUGGGCUACACACGUACUACAAUGCUACGGACAAAGGGCAGCAAGCUCGCGAGAGUUAGCAAAUCCCAUAAACCGUGGCUCAGUUCAGAUCGUAGGCUGCAACUCGCCUACGUGAAGGAGGAAUCGCUAGUAAUCGCAGGUCAGCAUACUGCGGUGAAUACGUUCCCGGGCCUUGUACACACCGCCCGUCACACCAUGGAAGUUGGCCAUGCCCGAAGUCGUUACUCCAACCCUUGUGGAGGAGGACGCCGAAGGUGGGGCUGAUGACUGGGGUGAAGUCGAAACAAGGUA